AGCAGCCGCGGUAAUUCCAGCUCCAAUAGCGUAUAUUAAAGUUGUUGCAGUUAAAAAGCUCGUAGUUGAAUUUCGGGGUUAGUAGGUUGGUCAUGCCUCUGGUAUGUACUGGUCUCACUGAUUCCUCCUUCCUGAUGAGCCGUAAUGCCAUUAAUUUGGUGUUGCGGGGAAUUUGGACUGUUACUUUGAAAAAUUAGAGUGUUUAAAGCAAGCUAACGCUUGAAUACAUUAGCAUGGAAUAAUGAAAUAGGACGUUCGAUCCUAUUUUGUUGGUUUCUAGGAUUGACGUAAUGAUUAAUAGGGAUAGUUGGGGGCAUUAGUAUUCAAUUGUCAGAGGUGAAAUUCUUGGAUUUAUUGAAGACUAACUACUGCGAAAGCAUUUGCCAAGGAUGUUUUCAUUAAUCAAGAACGAAAGUUAGGGGAUCGAAGACGAUCAGAUACCGUCGUAGUCUUAACCAUAAACUAUGCCGA
This 471-nucleotide unclassified non-coding RNA is filed under the name uncultured Glomus. RNAcentral describes it as "SSU rRNA". It matches the Rfam family "Eukaryotic small subunit ribosomal RNA", at positions 569 to 1045 of the family's 1831-position model. The record is from RNAcentral. Lineage: Eukaryota; Fungi; Glomeromycota; Glomeromycetes; Glomerales; Glomeraceae.